This 763-nucleotide ribosomal RNA is filed under the name Letrouitia vulpina. RNAcentral's name for it is "LSU rRNA". It matches the Rfam family "Eukaryotic large subunit ribosomal RNA", at positions 165 to 944 of the family's 3401-position model. Lineage: Eukaryota; Fungi; Ascomycota; Lecanoromycetes; Teloschistales; Letrouitiaceae. The record is from RNAcentral.
CGGGCGCGGGGCCGGUCUAAGUCUCUUGGAACGGGGCGUCAUAGAGGGUGAGAAUCCCGUAUGUGACCGGCGACCAAGCCUAUGUGAAGCUCCUUCGACGAGUCGAGUUGUUUGGGAAUGCAGCUCUAAAUGGGUGGUAAGUUUCAUCUAAAGCUAAAUAUCGGCCAGAGACCGAUAGCGCACAAGUAGAGUGAUCGAAAGAUGAAAAGCACUUUGGAAAGAGAGUUAAACAGUACGUGAAAUUGUUGAAAGGGAAGCGCUUGCAACCAGACCUGCCCGGGGGCGAUCAGCCGUCGUUCUCGGCGGUGCACUCGCUCUCGAUCAGGCCAGCAUCGGUUCGGGUGGCCGGAUAAAGGCCGGGGGAAUGUAGCUCCUCUCGGGGAGUGUUAUAGCCCUCGGCGGAAUGCGGCCAGCCUGGACCGAGGACCGCGCUUCGGCUAGGAUGCUGGCGUAAUGAUUGCAAGCGGCCCGUCUUGAAACACGGACCAAGGAGUCUAACAUCUAUGCGAGUGUUUGGGCAUCAAACCCACACGCGUAAUGAAAGUGAACGGAGGUGAGACCCCGUCGCCGGGCGCAUCAUCGACCGAUCCAGAUGUCUUCGGAUGGAUUUGAGUACGAGCAUAAAUGUUGGGACCCGAAAGAUGGUGAACUAUGCCUGAAUAGGGUGAAGCCAGAGGAAACUCUGGUGGAGGCUCGCAGCGGUUCUGACGUGCAAAUCGAUCGUCAAAUUUGGGUAUAGGGGCGAAAGACUUAUCGAACCAUC